RNAcentral lists this long non-coding RNA (645 nucleotides) under Homo sapiens (human). RNAcentral's name for it is "non-protein coding lnc-C3orf14-3:3". The record is from RNAcentral. Lineage: Eukaryota; Metazoa; Chordata; Mammalia; Primates; Hominidae.
AGUGAAGCUGACCCUCCAUCCUGAGCUGGUCUGGCCUGAGAGAGGUAGGGGUGAGAUGUGCUGGGAAGCCAGAAAGGGAGGUGCUGGUAAGAGACACCCCAUCCAGGGCCAGAACCGCGAGAAUUCAUCUCUAUCCAUUCUGUGCCUGCAAGCAGAGUGAUCUUCCAGAAGUGUUAACUGGAUUGCACUGAGCCCCAGGUCCAGGGCACCUGUUCCAUUGCACUCAGGGGGCAAUCUGGACCCCUACCUAUGGACUGCCACUCAUCUGCUCCAAUCUCACAAGCCUCCUGACUCUGCCAUCUCAGACCUGUUACAUACAAACUCUCUGAAGUGCACACAGCAGCUGGCAGCAUGCAGAGGAUACUCAGCAUGCAACAGCUCUCUUGGGAGCAAGGCGUCAAUCCAUGAAGGCUGAGGAAUGGCUCUCCAAGGGCUGGCAGCAAUGUGGCUGCCAACGGUAUAGUGAUGGAAAGUGCCACCAAGCUAUAUAAUAAGCUGCUAUUAUUACUUUUGGUCUUUUCAGCCACAAGCACAUAAGCAGAGACUGUAGAAAUGCCAUCACCCAUAGAGGCACCUCCAAAGAUGAAGGAAUGUGUAUUGGGACAUGUGUGUCUAUUCCAAACCAAAUACUUCCUGUAAGAGGGU